This 253-nucleotide ribosomal RNA is filed under the name uncultured bacterium. Its description in RNAcentral is "partial 16S ribosomal RNA". It matches the Rfam family "Bacterial small subunit ribosomal RNA", at positions 524 to 776 of the family's 1533-position model. The record is from RNAcentral.
GACGUAGGGCGCGAGCGUUGUCCGGAUUUAUUGGGCGUAAAGAACUCGUAGGCGGCUUGUUGCGUCGGCUGUGAAAACCCGCAGCUCAACUGUGGGCUUGCAGCCGAUACGGGCAGGCUUGAGUUCGGUAGGGGAGACUGGAAUUCCCGGUGUAGCGGUGAAAUGCGCAGAUAUCGGGAAGAACACCCGUGGCGAAGGCGGCACUCUGGGACGGUACUGACGCUGAGACGCGAAAGCGUGGGGAGCGAACAGG